UUAAUAGAAACCAAAAAGAGGUAUUCCACUGUUAAUGGAAAAAUUGAAAUAACUUCCUAUUAAG
This 64-nucleotide transfer RNA is filed under the name Procambarus alleni. Its description in RNAcentral is "tRNA-Asn". The record is from RNAcentral. Lineage: Eukaryota; Metazoa; Arthropoda; Malacostraca; Decapoda; Cambaridae.